GGGUCGCGGGACCUCUCAUAUGACCCCCAGUUCUGCGACUCUUGGCGGAUGUAUUUCCCCCAAGCCCGAGCUCCUAAAC
This 79-nucleotide long non-coding RNA is filed under the name Sus scrofa (pig). RNAcentral's name for it is "lncRNA (ENSSSCG00055009277.1)". Lineage: Eukaryota; Metazoa; Chordata; Mammalia; Artiodactyla; Suidae. The record is from RNAcentral.